GAAAUGGGAUGAACCAUACGUCUGAAUAAGGUGCCGAAAUGUACUAUCACUGUUACCAUAAAGGGAGUCCAUGUAUUUAGACAGCAGGGUCGGUGCCCCUAAAAGCAGGUAUCCGCUAAAGAGUGUGUUAAAACUCACCUGCCGAAUACUAGGGCCCCGAAAAUGAAUGGCGCAUAUAGUACUACCGAUCUCAGACAUCAGUUCUAUUGAACUGAGAGUAGGGGGAUGUGGACAUUUUUGUGAAGGUGCAAUGUGAGUUGGACUGGAAGAAUGUCUAUUACAGAUCCUAAUUGAAGUAGCGAUUAUCCAGGCUUGUAUCCUGGGGGCUGAUGAGGAGUAGGGUUUCUGGACAACUUAAACAGAUCCAGAGUUAGUCGAUCCUAAUCUCAAUAAUGGGAGAAAGGGAGUACAGUUGAUAUUCUGUAACUGACAACAGUUCGCGGCAACGCAUACUAUUUUUCUCCGCCAAUCUUAUACCGUUGGUAGGGAUCUCUUUCCUACAUGACAGUACUAAUACCCAGGGAAACUGGUCAUCAGGCGAACUGCGGCGUUCUGCUGGCAAAACAUAGCUUCGGUUAUGUCAAUGGCUAUUGGAUUGGUCCAUGAAGCGAAAAAUAGUUUACUGUGUCACUCGUACCGAUAACCGCAUCAGGUCUUCUAGGUAAGUAGCCUAUGGCCAUUGAGGCAUGAUAGUUCAGGGAAUUCGGCCAAUUAGAGCUGUAACUUCGGGAUAAAGCUUGGCUCUGAUGAAAAUCAGAACCGAUUGUUACGCGGAGAGCCCAACUGUUUAAUAAAAACGUAGUGUCGCGCUGUGGUAGUAUAGCCAGUGAACGCGACAUGAAUCCUGCUCAGUGCUGUGUCUGUUAAUAUGGUUCAAGCCAACGAAGCACCGGUAAAUAGCUGGGGUAACUAUGACUCUUAUCAAAGUAGCGAAAUACCUCGUCACUUAAUUAGUGACCUGCAUGAACGGAGCUAUGAGGUUCUCACUGUCCAAACUGUCUCUCAGCGAACCAACUGUAGUGGGAACGGUCACUAGAUAUCCAGCGGGGGAAGAA
This 1055-nucleotide non-coding RNA is filed under the name Trichomonas vaginalis G3. RNAcentral's name for it is "Eukaryotic large subunit ribosomal RNA". It matches the Rfam family "Eukaryotic large subunit ribosomal RNA", at positions 1155 to 2408 of the family's 3401-position model. The record is from Rfam by way of RNAcentral. Lineage: Eukaryota; Parabasalia; Trichomonadida; Trichomonadidae.